UGAGUGUGGCUGGAGCCUGAACGCGGUUGGGAACCGGAGCCGGGAGCCGGGGCCUUCCCCCGGCCCGCCCCGUUUCCCGCUGCGGAGGAAGCGGCGAGGCCGCCGCUCCCGGCGGAUGUCCGGCCGCGGCCAUGGCGCUGCCGGAGGCGGGAGCCCGCGGGCGGCUGCUGCGCUGGCCCCGCGUCGUUCUCUUCGGAGACUCCAUCACUGAGUACUCCUUCCAGGAAAAUGGCUGGGGGGCAUACCUUGCUGAGAGACUGGUCAGAAAAUGUGAUGUUGUGAACCGUGGGAUCUCAGGGUACAACACCAGAUGGGCAAAAUUGAUUCUUCCAAGACUGAUCACUGAAAGUACUAGUCCUGACAGUAUUGCUGCAGUUACUAUUUUCUUUGGAGCUAAUGACAGUGCUUUGAAAGAGCUGAACCCCAAGCAGCACGUGCCUCUGGAGGAGUACGCCGCCAACCUGAAGAGCAUGGUGCAGUACCUGAAGUCAGUAGACAUUACUGCAGACAAGAUUAUUUUGAUAACACCCCCACCUCUUCAGGAAUCAGCUUGGGAAAAGGCAUGUCUUGCCAAAGGUGAGAAACUGAACCGCAGCAACGGCACCACGGGGCAGUACGCGCAGGCCUGCGUGCAGGCCGCCCGGGAGUGCGGCACCGAGGUGCUCGACCUCUGGAGCCUGAUGCAGAGGAAUCAGGAUUUCUCUUCCUAUUUGUCUGAUGGUCUUCAUUUAUCAACAAAAGGCAACAGCUUUCUAGCAGCUCAGCUGUGGUCACGCCUGGAAAACAAACUGUCUGCUCUUCCUUCACUGCUUCCUUACUGGCGUGACGUGGACCACACGAACCCCGAGGCCAGUCUUCUGUGACAGCCCUGCAGGGAGGAGCCAGACAGAGCCAGCUCAUUGUCCACCAACGUGCUGCAAACUGUAUCCUCAGCGAACAGGACACUGGGGAGUGCCCAGCAAUGCUCUCCUCUGUCCCCUUCUCUUGGUCUGUGGGAGAAUAAAGGCACCUGCCACUGCAUGGUUUUCACCUGGGAUGUAAAGACCUUUGUGUUGAGAACAUGUACUCACAGAUCUGGGAGCUGAACAGCAUUUGAGCACAGCCCCAUUCCUCAGGCAUUUCGUGUCACCAUCUGAACUGAUGAUAAUCUGCAGGACACAUGGCAGUACCAGCUCCAGCCCUCAUGGUGCAGGUCUGGCCUCUGCAGCAGCUGAGCUCAGAAAGGAGCAGUCAGAAAUCCUGCCUGGCUGCAUGCCAGACUUUUAACCCAGGCUUUGACAACCAGAGAAUGGAGAUCUUUUAGAAGAGGACGGCAUAGAAACAGCUCUUGUUUAACUGAUUUUUUUAAUAAAAAAAGCUUUUAUUUUAUUUUGUUGGGAAUUAAAUUAACUCCUCACAUGUGUACUUUGCACUGAAUCAAAAAAAGAAACCUGAACAAAAACAAACAACCCCAAACAAAGUUCAAAACCAUUAUAUAAAACAUCAUAGCUAGUCAGACAGGAAUACCAUAAGGCACACAUUCAAGUAACUAGUGUAACAAGUAUCCUUGGGUGUGGAGGAGAGGGAGCACUCACACAGCUUUGCAGCACAGGUUCAGUUCCUUUCCCUCACAUUUAAAAACAUGGGCUCACCGCAGCCGCGCUUCCCUGUGCCUGAGUCCAGGCUUGCAAGAGUUAAAUGGUUCUGCCCUUGGCCACGUUCUGUCAGUUUAAUCAAUAGAUUAUUGUGGGAGAAACCAGCUGCAGAAUGAAGGUGCUGCUGUACUGCCAGGACAGUUGCUCUGUGACUCCACUCUGUCAGUCCAUCUGCUGCCAAGCUAAAACAACGCUCAUGUGCCAGUCCCAGCUCACCUGAGGGAUCUCCAGCUGUACAGAAGACACCAUCCAAUUUUCAGCUUCUUACAUCAUGUUUUACUACCUGUGUGAGUAUCUGUAUUCACAAAAUCUCCUCCUUAUACUUACCCUGCAAGUUUUACAAAGGUUUAUUUCUUUAUUCAAUUCACAAUUGUUUUUAAACAAAUGCCUCCCCUGCAAUGGAGUGAUUUUUUCCCAUCAUUCAUGCAGUAGGAGCUUCCAAAGGCCACAGAGACCACAGAAAACUGAGCUCAGUAAUUUGAAAAUUUCAACAAUAGUGUUGCCUGUUUUAAAAUAACAUUUGGAGAAACAUUUCUGCACCAAAACUGCUGUAAACAGCAGUUUAAAAUGUCAUCUGCAUAAAUUAUUUCUUUAAGCUUCUUUCUCCAACCAGACACCUGCGACACACAAACCUUAGUGCAGAGUGGGAAGCUCCCAACAAAAGCCACCACGACAAGGCAGCCUCACCACUGAGGCAGAAGAGUUUCAUGCUAGAGGAGCAUUUCUCAUGCACCAUGUACAGCCAGUCCAGUGUAACAGCCUCUGUGAUCCUUUUAUUUAUACAGAAGCUGGGCCUUUUAUGUUGCUUUAUUCUGAUUAUGCAUUGUACUGAAUGCUGCAAGACUGUAUUUUUAUCCAUUUCAUUACACUCUGUUCUCAAGGCAUUUGCUUAGGCUUUUGGUUACAUGUACCUUAAACUGCUAAAUUAUCUACUCUAUUAUGGAACAUACUGCAGAGUUCAUUUUGGUUUUAAAAGCCCCUUAAUUUUGUCUAUCAGUGCUGUGAGACUACAAAAUAUUAAAUUAUAAAAAAAGGCUGAUAUACACAAUCCAAUAUCCAUCAGGACAUUUGGCUUUGCACCACAGGUUGAAGGAAAUGUUAAAGGUCAAGGAAGUAGAAAAACAAAUCCAAAAAGCUUCAAAAACAAGCCAGUUCUAGUUCGGAUUUUCCUUUUUAAAAGAUAUAAUGCUCUAAUAAAUGUAGUUUAAGGAAGGUCAUACACAUGACCAGCAUCUGCAGUAGGUCACUUCCUUAUUCUCCCA
Passer domesticus (house sparrow) is the source of this 2896-nucleotide RNA transcript. It is a transcript of the gene named isoamyl acetate hydrolyzing esterase 1 (putative), with no coding region annotated. The transcript has 7 exons. NCBI's taxonomy places the organism in Eukaryota, Metazoa, Chordata, Aves, Passeriformes, Passeridae. The record is from RefSeq and is a predicted model, not a curated record.